AUGGAAGCUGCUCUUUGGGUGUGCCUCAGUCUGCUCUGUCUGCAGGGCAGCUUUCUCCAGCUCACACGUGGUGCAGACUGCACUGGGACAUCACCGGUGGAAGACUGUGUUAAUGGGCAGACCACCGGAGGAAAGAAGGAUGGGCUUCUGCGGCUGAUGCCAUCUGCUCCAAGAGAGACCCAUACCCAGAAAAAUCCACAGAGGUGGAAGGAUGACAACGUACUGUCGGCCGUGCCGUUGGACAGACAGGAGAGAGAGUUUGGGAAGCACUCCAGCCUUCCUGGGUCCUUCUCAACUAAGGGCUUCCCCAACACACUCAUCCAAGUUCAGACAGAGCGGGCCAGGAGACACUUGGGCCAGUCUGGGACCAAGAAGAAGAACAAGCCUAAAUCCAGAGUGGGAUCUUUUUCUCUGCUCAGCAACAACCCCAGCGCCGCCAUACAGGUAACCAGAGUACGGAGGCAGCUGCAGAAGGAGAAGAAGAAAGGGAAGCCAAGAGGACGAACAGGAGCGUACUCCGCUAUGGACGUCCCAGACAAACCUGAACCCUUGGUGAGGCCAAUGUCCCCCUCCGCGUGUCCCUCACCCCCACCUGAGUCAAUCAAUCAAUAAACCAAUCAAUCACUUUUUUUGUGACCAGAGAGAAAUUCUGCUUCCAGGCAUGUUAAGAAUACAGAGUUCAUACAAACUACUUAAAAACCGCUAACACAAAAAAAAGUUUCAAACCUGUUGUGUUAAAUUCACCUCCGUCUGAUUUGUCACUCUAAUCUAAACUAAAUGUUUGAUUCUUUCACCAGGGACAAAGGCGCAAGAGGAGCCCACAGAAGAAGAAACAGACCAAGAGAAUUGUUUGUUCAUAAACAUUUCAUUAAACGAAACAAGGGACUUUGCGGAAGUGCUACUGCUUCAAUAGUUCAUAAACUGUACUUUAUAUCUUCUUCUCUUUGUAAACAUAUUGGUUUUGUCAUUUUUUCAAUUGAACAAUAAUGUAAUAUAUAUAAUGGAAACACAUCCCUGAGGACAAGUAUACUUACAAUACUUUUGAGAACUCCUUUAAUAUUCUCUUUUAUUACAGUUAUUUGUUGUUGUUGUCGUUGGUCGAUGGUGAUUCUUUGGCGACUGUGCAUAUUAUCAGGUUUAAAUAAAGUAAACUUGUAUGAGAAUACUUCUUGAGAACAUUCCGCAACACAAGGCCUACCGUUUCUACCUAGCACUGAUCGUUUUCUGUUCAGUCAUUGACAGAGUCGGACUCCACCUUGACAAAUGGACUGGAACAUUUCACUGCUCCAGCUCUCCCUCUCUGUUGCCAAGUGCAACACCUUCAAUUCCCACACAACAGGACCUGGGUAACUUCCAGAAGUUAAUUCAGAAAUUGUGAAUUAGGGGGGGGGGGGGGGGGGGAAUGUCACUGAGCCCCAAUUACAGAUGGCUGAGCUAACGUCAGAGUCUGUCUCCCAAAUGGCACCAUAUUCCCUAAAUAGUGCACUACUUUUCACCAUCUUAAGGCUAAGUUCAUCGUUAGAACCAUAUAGUUUGAACGAUGAACUUAGCCUUAAGAUGUUUUUGGGAAACCAGGUUGUGAGUACCAUGGGUCCUGGUCAAAAGUAGUGCACUAUGUAAGGAAGAGGGUGCCAUUUGGGCUGCAGGCAGUGAAUGCCCAGCACUCCGCUAAACUUGCAGUCAAACCUUUGGGUUGAGUGCCCAACUGUUCUGUCAAAUUAAAGGGCGUUGGACCAGUUGAUAAUGGGAAAGAAAUCAUCAUAAUGUUAGACUGUAUACGCCAUCUGUUUCAGAAGUCAAAGUUAAUUUGUUCGAAAAAAAAAUGUUUAUUUUGAAUGAAUUUAGUCAGAGCUAGGAAGCUCAUGGCACUGCAUUCACUAAUGGAGAUGGUUUGAGUGUUUUUGCAGACCAGUCCUGUACUUUACAGUGCCUGCGGAAAGUAUUCAGACCCCUUGACUUUUUCCAUAAUUUGUUAUGUUACAGCCUUAUUCUAAA
This 1995-nucleotide long non-coding RNA is filed under the name Oncorhynchus kisutch (coho salmon). Its description in RNAcentral is "lncRNA (ENSOKIG00005033136.1)". The record is from RNAcentral. Lineage: Eukaryota; Metazoa; Chordata; Actinopteri; Salmoniformes; Salmonidae.